RNAcentral lists this ribosomal RNA (460 nucleotides) under uncultured bacterium. RNAcentral's name for it is "partial 16S ribosomal RNA". It matches the Rfam family "Bacterial small subunit ribosomal RNA", at positions 338 to 795 of the family's 1533-position model. The record is from RNAcentral.
CCUACGGGUGGCAGCAGUGAGGAAUAUUGGUCAAUGGGCGCAAGCCUGAACCAGCCAAGUCGCGUGAGGGAUGACGGCCCUACGGAUUGUAAACCUCUUUUGUCGGGGAGCAACGCCCGUCACGUGUGGCGGGAAGGAGAGUACCCGAAGAAAAAGCAUCGGCUAACUCCGUGCCAGCAGCCGCGGUAAUACGGAGGAUGCGAGCGUUAUCCGGAUUUAUUGGGUUUAAAGGGUGCGUAGGCGGAAGGUUAAGUCAGCGGUCAAAUGGCGGUGCUCAACACCGUCCUGCCGUUGAAACUGGUGUUCUUGAGUGGGCGAGAAGUAUGCGGAAUGCGUGGUGUAGCGGUGAAAUGCAUAGAUAUCACGCAGAACUCCGAUUGCGAAGGCAGCAUGCCGGCGCUCAACUGACGCUGAGGCACGAAAGCGUGGGGAUCGAACAGGAUUAGAUACCCCUGUAGUC